RNAcentral lists this ribosomal RNA (382 nucleotides) under uncultured bacterium. RNAcentral's name for it is "bacterial SSU rRNA". It matches the Rfam family "Bacterial small subunit ribosomal RNA", at positions 518 to 898 of the family's 1533-position model. The record is from RNAcentral.
CGGUAAUACGUAGGGUGCGAGCGUUAAUCGGAAUUACUGGGCGUAAAGCGUGCGCAGGCGGAUUGUUAAGCAAGACGUGAAAUCCCCGGGCUUAACCUGGGAAUGGCGUUUUGAACUGGCAGUCUAGAGUGUGUCAGAGGGGGGUGGAAUUCCACGUGUAGCAGUGAAAUGCGUAGAGAUGUGGAGGAACACCAAUGGCGAAGGCAGCCCCCUGGGAUAACACUGACGCUCAUGUACGAAAGCGUGGGUAGCAAACAGGAUUAGAUACCCUGGUAGUCCACGCCCUAAACGAUGUCAACUGGUUGUUGGGGGAGUGAAGUCCCUUAGUAACGAAGCUAACGCGUGAAGUUGACCGCCUGGGGAGUACGGUCGCAAGAUUAAA